RNAcentral lists this ribosomal RNA (253 nucleotides) under uncultured bacterium. RNAcentral describes it as "partial 16S ribosomal RNA". It matches the Rfam family "Bacterial small subunit ribosomal RNA", at positions 524 to 776 of the family's 1533-position model. The record is from RNAcentral.
UACGUAGGGCGCGAGCGUUGUCCGGAAUUAUUGGGCGUAAAGAGCUCGUAGGCGGCUUGUCGCGUCGGUUGUGAAAGCCCGGGGCUUAACCCCGGGUCUGCAGUCGAUACGGGCAGGCUAGAGUUCGGUAGGGGAGAUCGGAAUUCCUGGUGUAGCGGUGAAAUGCGCAGAUAUCAGGAGGAACACCGGUGGCGAAGGCGGAUCUCUGGGCCAUUACUGACGCUGAGGAGCGAAAGCGUGGGGAGCGAACAGG